This 1403-nucleotide ribosomal RNA is filed under the name metagenome. RNAcentral describes it as "bacterial SSU rRNA". It matches the Rfam family "Bacterial small subunit ribosomal RNA". The record is from RNAcentral.
GCGGACGGGUGAGUAAUGUCUGGGAAGCUGCCUGAUGGAGGGGGAUAACUACUGGAAACGGUAGCUAAUACCGCAUAAUGUCGCAAGACCAAAGAGGGGGACCUUCGGGCCUCUUGCCAUCGGAUGUGCCCAGAUGGGAUUAGCUUGUUGGUGGGGUAACGGCUCACCAAGGCGACGAUCCCUAGCUGGUCUGAGAGGAUGACCAGCCACACUGGAACUGAGACACGGUCCAGACUCCUACGGGAGGCAGCAGUGGGGAAUAUUGCACAAUGGGCGCAAGCCUGAUGCAGCCAUGCCGCGUGUAUGAAGAAGGCCUUCGGGUUGUAAAGUACUUUCAGCGGGGAGGAAGGGAGUAAAGUUAAUACCUUUGCUCAUUGACGUUACCCGCAGAAGAAGCACCGGCUAACUCCGUGCCAGCAGCCGCGGUAAUACGGAGGGUGCAAGCGUUAAUCGGAAUUACUGGGCGUAAAGCGCACGCAGGCGGUUUGUUAAGUCAGAUGUGAAAUCCCCGGGCUCAGCCUGGGAACUGCAUCUGAUACUGGCAAGCUUGAGUCUCGUAGAGGGGGGUAGAAUUCCAGGUGUAGCGGUGAAAUGCGUAGAGAUCUGGAGGAAUACCGGUGGCGAAGGCGGCCCCCUGGACGAAGACUGACGCUCAGGUGCGAAAGCGUGGGGAGCAAACAGGAUUAGAUACCCUGGUAGUCCACGCCGUAAACGAUGUCGACUUGGAGGUUGUGCCCUUGAGGCGUGGCUUCCGGAGCUAACGCGUUAAGUCGACCGCCUGGGGAGUACGGCCGCAAGGUUAAAACUCAAAUGAAUUGACGGGGGCCCGCACAAGCGGUGGAGCAUGUGGUUUAAUUCGAUGCAACGCGAAGAACCUUACCUGGUCUUGACAUCCACGGAAGUUUUCAGAGAUGAGAAUGUGCCUUCGGGAACCGUGAGACAGGUGCUGCAUGGCUGUCGUCAGCUCGUGUUGUGAAAUGUUGGGUUAAGUCCCGCAACGAGCGCAACCCUUAUCCUUUGUUGCCAGCGGUCCGGCCGGGAACUCAAAGGAGACUGCCAGUGAUAAACUGGAGGAAGGUGGGGAUGACGUCAAGUCAUCAUGGCCCUUACGACCAGGGCUACACACGUGCUACAAUGGCGCAUACAAAGAGAAGCGACCUCGCGAGAGCAAGCGGACCUCAUAAAGUGCGUCGUAGUCCGGAUUGGAGUCUGCAACUCGACUCCAUGAAGUCGGAAUCGCUAGUAAUCGUGGAUCAGAAUGCCACGGUGAAUACGUUCCCGGGCCUUGUACACACCGCCCGUCACACCAUGGGAGUGGGUUGCAAAAGAAGUAGGUAGCUUAACCUUCGGGAGGGCGCUUACCACUUUGUGAUUCAUGACUGGGGUGAAGUCGUAACAAGGUA